This 405-nucleotide ribosomal RNA is filed under the name uncultured bacterium. RNAcentral describes it as "partial 16S ribosomal RNA". It matches the Rfam family "Bacterial small subunit ribosomal RNA", at positions 28 to 526 of the family's 1533-position model. The record is from RNAcentral.
GAUGAACGCUGGCGGCCUGCCUAAUACAUGCAAGUCGAGCGAAGCGGGGACGGGGGAGUAACACGUGGAUAACCCCCUAUAAGACUGGGAUAACUUCGGGAAACCGGAGCUAAACCGGCAACUUAUAGAUGGAUCCGGACUGCAUUAGGUGGUUGGUCAGGUAACGGCUUACCAAGGCAACGAUGAAUAGCAGACCGGAGAGGGUGAUCAGCCACACGGGAACUGAGACGCGGUCCAGACUACUACGGGAGGCAGAAGUAGGGAGUCUUCCACAAUGGGCGAAAUCCUGACGGAGCAACGCCGCGUGAAUGAUGAAGGUCUUCGGAUCGUAAAACUCGGUUAUUGGGGAAGCGGUACCUACACAAGAAGCCACGGCUAACUACGUGCCAGCAGCCGCGGUAAUAC